GGAAAGUGUGGGCCAGCUGCCGCGUUGAGUGGGUGGGGGUGAGCGUUGCUUGGAAGAACUGGGCGUAAAGUGUUCUGAGGUGGGUCUUUAAGUCAGGGUUGAGAUCCUGGUGCGCAACUCCAGACCUGCCUUUGAUUCUGAAGGUCUUGAGUUCGGGAGAGGUGAGUGGAACUGCGAGGGUAGAGGUGAAAUUCGUAGAUAGUCGCAAGAACACCAGUGGCGAAGGCGGCUCACUGGCCCGAUACUGACGCUGAGGCACGAAAGCGUGGGGAGCAAACAGGAUUAGAUACCCCUGUAGUC
Molecule: ribosomal RNA, 300 nt
Filed under: uncultured Acidianus sp.
Lineage: Archaea; Thermoproteati; Thermoproteota; Thermoprotei; Sulfolobales; Sulfolobaceae
Description: bacterial SSU rRNA
Rfam family: Bacterial small subunit ribosomal RNA
Source: RNAcentral